RNAcentral lists this ribosomal RNA (233 nucleotides) under uncultured Actinomycetales bacterium. Its description in RNAcentral is "partial 16S ribosomal RNA". It matches the Rfam family "Bacterial small subunit ribosomal RNA", at positions 524 to 756 of the family's 1533-position model. The record is from RNAcentral. Lineage: Bacteria; Bacillati; Actinomycetota; Actinomycetes; Actinomycetales.
UACGUAGGGUGCAAGCGUUGUCCGGAAUUACUGGGCGUAAAGAGCUCGUAGGUGGUUUGUCACGUCGUCUGUGAAAUUCCACAGCUUAACUGUGGGCGUGCAGGCGAUACGGGCUGACUUGAGUACUGUAGGGGUAACUGGAAUUCCUGGUGUAGCGGUGAAAUGCGCAGAUAUCAGGAGGAACACCGAUGGCGAAGGCAGGUUACUGGGCAGUUACUGACGCUGAGGAGCGA